UUGCAGGUGAAUGAUGUAGAGAUCUGUUAAAUUCAUUUUAAGUCAUAUUCUGUUAAUGACAUUGUGCUGCAGCCUCAGACUGGGAUUAGUCAUUUUAAUUUCUUUUAGGAUUUCCCAGUGUGAUUGGCUGCAUAGAUGCACACACAUCCCCAUCACAGCUCCCUCACAUCAUGAACAGGAAGUCCAUUCACAGCAUAAAUGUGCAGAUCAUCUGUGAUGCUGCAUACAUCAUUUCUAAUGUGGAGGCCAAGUGGUCUGGGUCUGUUCAUGACUCCAGGAUUUAUGGAGAGUCUAACCUGAGCAACAGACUGCAGCGUGGAGAGUUUGAUGGCCUUCUGCUGGGUGACAGGGGUUACCAUGACAACCCAGGCUGAUGACCUCAUACCCUGACCCUGAACCAGGCCCCCAACAGAACUUCAACCGGACUCACUGCAGGACCAGAGCCCGGGUGGAGAUGACCAUAGGCCUGCUGAAAGCCCGUUUCCAGAGCCUACGUCUCCUCAGGGUGACCCCUGAGAGGGCCUGUGAUAUUACUGUGGCAUGUGUUGUUCUUCAUAAUAUUACCACUAUUAGAGGAGAGCAACACCCUGCCCUACAAACUGAAGACCCAGAUGAUGAGCCCAUCCACCUGCAGCUAUCCAGGACAGCAGAGCAGUCGGAGACACCGUAUGCAAUAAUCACUUUAC
Molecule: long non-coding RNA, 686 nt
Organism: Acanthochromis polyacanthus (spiny chromis)
Lineage: Eukaryota; Metazoa; Chordata; Actinopteri; Pomacentridae
Exons: 3
Source: RefSeq, a predicted model, not a curated record